GACAGAGGCCUCGAGCGUUAAUCGGAAUUACUGGGCGUAAAGCGUGCGCAGGCGGUGAUGUAAGACAGUUGUGAAAUCCCCGGGCUCAACCUGGGAACUGCAUCUGUGACUGCAUUGCUGGAGUGCGGCAGAGGGGGAUGGAAUUCCGCGUGUAGCAGUGAAAUGCGUAGAUAUCUGGAGGAACACCGGUGGCGAAGGCGGCAUCCUGGACCGGCAUUGACGCUGAGGCGCGAAAGCCAGGGGAGCAAACGGG
Molecule: ribosomal RNA, 253 nt
Filed under: uncultured bacterium
Lineage: Bacteria
Description: partial 16S ribosomal RNA
Rfam family: Bacterial small subunit ribosomal RNA
Source: RNAcentral